Molecule: non-coding RNA, 2174 nt
Filed under: Picea glauca (white spruce)
Lineage: Eukaryota; Viridiplantae; Streptophyta; Pinopsida; Pinales; Pinaceae
Description: eukaryotic LSU rRNA
Rfam family: Eukaryotic large subunit ribosomal RNA
Source: RNAcentral
GUAAAUUCCGUCCAAGGCUAAAUACAGGUGAGAGACCAAUACCAAACAAGUACUGUUAGGGAAAUAUGAAAAGGACUUUGAAAAGAGAGUUAAAGAGUGCUUGAAAUUGCCGAGAGGGAAGCAGAUGGAGGUCGACGAUGCGUCUCAGUCAGAUUCAGAACGACUCAAGCUGGUCCGUCGCUCGACUCUAGGUGCGAACCAGCAUAGGCUGUUGCAUCGGCACAAGCACGGGUGGAGUACUGCCUGUUGGUUUUCCAUUGUGGCAGUCGAGGAACGAAGUGUGCACCCGUGGGGUGGGCCACUGUGCACCUGCACGCUCAUGGUGUUGGUUUGCGGGAUUUCCAUUCGACCCGUCUUGAAACACGGACCAAGGAGUCUAACAUGUGUGCGAGUCGGUGGGUUUGUAAACCUGCAAGGCAUAAGGAAGCUUAUGGGAGAGAAACCCUCUCCAUGGGGUGCAUUUCCGACCGACCUUGAGCUUGUGCGAAGGGUUCGAGUGUGAGCACACCUGUUGGGACCUGAAAGAUGGUGAACUAUGCCUGAGCAGGGCGAAGCCAGAGGAAACUCUUGUGGAGGCCCGUAGCGAUACUGACGUGCAAAUCAUUCAUUUGACUUGGGUAUAGGGGUGAAAGACUAAUCGAACCAUCUAGUAGCUAGUUUCCUCCAAAUUUUCCCUCAGGAUCGCUGGAGCUCACGUGCGAGUUUUAUCGGGUAAAGAAAAUAAUUAGAGGCAUCAAGGGUGUAAUUCCCUUGACCUAUUCUCAAAAUUUAAAUAGGUAAGAUGGUGCAGCUGCUCCACUGAGCCGUGCCAUGGAAUCGAGAGCUCCAAGUGGGCCAUUUUUGGUAAGCAGAACUGGCGAUGCCUGAUGAACCAAAAGUCGAGUUACGGUGCCAAACUACGCGCUAACCCAGAUCCAACAAAGGGUGUUGGUUGAUUAAGAUAGCAGGAUGGUGGUCAUGGAAGUCGAAAUCCGCUAAGGAUUGUGUAACAACUCACCUGCCGAAUCAACUAGCCCCGAAAAUGGAUGGUGCCGAAGUGCGCAACCUAUACUCGACCAUCAGAGCAAUUGCCAGGCUUUGAUGAGUAGGAGGACGCAGAGGUCGUUGAGAAACCUUAGGCUUGAGCCUGUUUGGACCGGUCCCUGGUGUAGAUCUUGGUGGUAGUAGCAAAUAUUCAAAUGAGAACUUUGAAGACUGAAGUGGGGAAAGGUUCCAUGUGAACAACACUUAGACAUGGGUUAGUCGAUCCUAAGAGAUGGGGAAGCCCUGUAUCAAGGGUGCACUCUGCACAAACAUCGAAAGGGAAUCAUGUUAGUAUUCCUCAACUGGGACAUGGUGGUGGAUGACAAUGUUAGGAAAUCCGGAGACGUUGUCGGGGGCCUCAGGAAGAGUUAUCUUUUCUUUUUAACAGCUUGCCCACCCUGAAAUUGGCUCAAACAAAGAUAGGGUCCAGCAGCUGGAAGAGAAUUGCACGUCUUGUGGUGUCCAAUGUGCCCUCGGCGACCCUUGAAGAUUUGGAGGACCGAGUACCGUCCAUGUCCGGUCGUACUCAUAAUCGCAUCAGGUCUCGAAGGUGAACAACCUCUGGUCAAUAGAACAAUGUACGUAAGAGAAUUUGGCAAAACAGAUCCGUAACUUCAGGAAAAGGAUUAGCUCUGAGGGCUAGGAAUAGGGGUCUGCGUCCUCAACCCGUGGGCUAUCGGAAGUCUGCCCGAGCUGCUAUCACGACAAGGACGAGCAGUCACGUGCCGAUUGGGAUACAAACGUAGAAUGUCCUCUCACGAGGGAUUUUCCUUAGGAAGCGAACAUUCAACUCAGAACUGGUAUGGACAAGGGGAAUCUGACUUUUUAAUUAAAACAAAGCAUUGCGAUGGUCCCUGCGGAUGUUGAUGCAAUGUGAUUUUUUCCUAGUGCUCUGAAUGUUAAAGUGAAGAAAUUCAACCAAGCGUGGGUAAACGGCGGUAGUAACUAUGACUCUCUUAAGGUAGCCAAAUGCCUCGUCAUCUAAUUAGUGACGCACGUGAAUGGAUUAACGAGAUUCCCAUUGUCCCUAUCUACUAUCUAGUGAAACCACAGCCAAGGGAACGGGCUUGGCAGAAUCAGCAGGGAAAGAAGACCCUGUUGAGCUUGACUCUAGUCUGACUUUGUGAAAUGACUUGAGAGGUGUAGAAUAA